Molecule: ribosomal RNA, 253 nt
Filed under: uncultured bacterium
Lineage: Bacteria
Description: partial 16S ribosomal RNA
Rfam family: Bacterial small subunit ribosomal RNA
Source: RNAcentral
GACGAACCGUGCGAACGUUGUUCGGAAUCACUGGGCUUAAAGGGCGCGUAGGCGGGUGACCAAGUCCGGGGUGAAAUCUUUCGGCUUAACCGGAAAAGUGCCUUGGAUACUGGUCGCCUGGAGGGAGGUAGGGGCAUGUGGAACUUCCGGUGGAGCGGUGAAAUGCGUUGAUAUCCCCAAGAACACCAGUUGCGAAGGCGGCCGACUGGACACAUAUUGACGCUGAGGCUCGAAAGCAUGGGGAGCAAACAGG